This is a long non-coding RNA of Clupea harengus (Atlantic herring), 554 nucleotides long. RefSeq lists it as uncharacterized. NCBI's taxonomy places the organism in Eukaryota, Metazoa, Chordata, Actinopteri, Clupeiformes, Clupeidae. The transcript has 3 exons. The record is from RefSeq and is a predicted model, not a curated record.
UGAAGACAGGAGCCAGGAGGCCAGUCCUGCACUCUCUCCACGGGCCAGUCCUACACUCUAUGCUCGUCCUGAACCUGAAGCAUCCUCUGGGGAUAGAGAGCCCUGUGAUGAUGGGAGGCCUGUUUCUGUCCACCCAGAUGAACCCUUGUCUAUGAAAGAUAUGCAUCAGCAGAACACAUCACUUGUGAAAGACUGCAGUGUGAAGAUGUGGCAGAAUUAUGCUUAGGAGGAGAACUAACAGUUUGUAUCCAACCAGGAUGAAAUGCACUUGCAGACUGAAACAGGCUGCUUUCCCAGGAAGAUGGAGAUCUGUGCGAUGCAAUUCAAGAGCUGUUGCAUGUUAAUGAACAAAGCCCUGCUUCAUGUCUUAGGCAUGUCCAGUAAUUAUUGAAAGACAUUAGAAAUAGUGUUAUAGUUCCCUAACCCUUACGCAGCACUCAGACAUUGAUAACAUUUAUGAUAACACUUAGACUGAUGAGACUACCUUGAAUUCAUUAUGUGUCAUUUUGUGUCAUUAAAAAAAAGAGAAUAAAAAUAACAAUUUUUGAACAGUC